RNAcentral lists this microRNA precursor (141 nucleotides) under Gossypium hirsutum (cotton). Its description in RNAcentral is "MIR7502 microRNA precursor family". It matches the Rfam family "MIR7502 microRNA precursor family". The record is from Rfam by way of RNAcentral. Lineage: Eukaryota; Viridiplantae; Streptophyta; Magnoliopsida; Malvales; Malvaceae.
UAUUAAAAAAAUUCAUUCAUUUGUACUAUAAAAAACUAGUGCAAUUGACAGAAUAACCAGAAAGUGACACAUACCAUGUAUACCUCAUGCUAAUAUAUAGAGACUAAUUUUUAACUGUGGAAAUGGAUGAAAUUUUUAACA